GGCGUAAAGAGCUUGUAGGCGGCUUGUCGCGUCUGCUGUGAAAGCCCGGGGCUUAACCCCGGGUCUGCAGUGGGUACAGGCAGGCUAGAGUGUGGUAGGGGAGACUGGAAUUCCUGGUGUAGCGGUGGAAUGCGCAGAUAUCAGGAGGAACACCGAUGGCGAAGGCAGGUCUCUGGGCCAUUACUGACGCUGAGAAGCGAAAGCGUGGGGAGCGAACAGGAUUAGAUACCCUGGUAGUCCACGCCGUAAACGUUGGGCGCUAGGUGUGGGUCCCAUUCCACGGGGUCCGUGCCGCAGCUAACGCAUUAAGCGCCCCGCCUGGGGAGUACGGCCGCAAGGCUAAAACUCAAAGGAAUUGACGGGGGCCCGCACAAGCGGCGGAGCAUGCGGAUUAAUUCGAUGCAACGCGAAGAACCUUACCAAGGCUUGACAUGUACCGGAAACCCUCGGAGACGGGGGCCCCGCAAGGCUGGUACACAGGUGGUGCAUGGUUGUCGUCAGCUCGUGUCGUGAGAUGUUGGGUUAAGUCCCGCAACGAGCGCAACCCUCGUUCUAUGUUGCCAGCGGUUCGGCCGGGGACUCAUAGGAGACUGCCGGGGUCAACUCGGAGGAAGGU
This 616-nucleotide ribosomal RNA is filed under the name uncultured Actinomycetes bacterium. RNAcentral describes it as "bacterial SSU rRNA". It matches the Rfam family "Bacterial small subunit ribosomal RNA", at positions 557 to 1174 of the family's 1533-position model. The record is from RNAcentral. Lineage: Bacteria; Bacillati; Actinomycetota; Actinomycetes.